Molecule: ribosomal RNA, 450 nt
Filed under: uncultured bacterium
Lineage: Bacteria
Description: partial 16S ribosomal RNA
Rfam family: Bacterial small subunit ribosomal RNA
Source: RNAcentral
AACGAACGCUGGCGGCAUGCCUAACACAUGCAAGUCGAACGAGACCUUCGGGUCUAGUGGCGCACGGGUGCGUAACGCGUGGGAAUCUACCCUUGGGUUCGGAAUAACAGUUAGAAAUGACUGCUAAUACCGGAUGAUGACGUAAGUCCAAAGAUUUAUCGCCCAAGGAUGAGCCCGCGUAAGAUUAGCUUGUUGGUGGGGUAAUGGCCUACCAAGGCGACGAUCUUUAGCUGGUCUGAGAGGAUGAUCAGCCACACUGGGACUGAGACACGGCCCAGACUCCUACGGGAGGCAGCAGUGGGGAAUAUUGGACAAUGGGCGAAAGCCUGAUCCAGCAAUGCCGCGUGAGUGAUGAAGGCCUUAGGGUUGUAAAGCUCUUUUACCAGGGAUGAUAAUGACAGUACCUGGAGGAAUAAGCCCCGGCUAACUUCGUGCCAGCCGCCGCGGUAA